Molecule: long non-coding RNA, 547 nt
Filed under: Olea europaea (common olive)
Lineage: Eukaryota; Viridiplantae; Streptophyta; Magnoliopsida; Lamiales; Oleaceae
Description: long non-coding RNA (OEUR_LNC004253)
Source: RNAcentral
UAGUAUUGAAAUCUUGGAUAAAGACAUAACUUACAAUUAUCUAAAAUUUUGUAGAGGGGAAAAAAGCGAGAUACACAAGUUAAAUGCUAGAACAGUCUUACAAAUGGACAAUGCUAUACGUACCGAAAUUUUUUAUCGAAUCUUUUACCUACUGCUCACAACAGGGGUGGGAACCACAUGUCGGCAUUUUUAAAUUCAUGCACGGCUGCCAUACAUUGUGAGAGGGUGUAAAACAUACGAUAAGGUAUUGGGUGUACAAAUAUCUUUUUCCCUUACAAAUAGACGAUAUAUUGUCAGACGACACAAUUGAAGAGGUGCACAAAUUACCUCUAAUUGUGUUUAUCAUUGUCCAUUCGAGCUAUAUUUCUUCCCAACAUCUCUAGAUGAUCUGGGAACCACAUGUCGGCAUUUUUAAAUUCAUGCACGGCUGCCAUACAUUGUGAGAGGGUGUAAAACAUACGAUAAGGUAUUGGGUGUACAAAUAUCUUUUUCCCUUACAAAUAGACGAUAUAUUGUCAGACGACACAAUUGAAGAGGUGCACAAAUU